Molecule: small nucleolar RNA, 139 nt
Organism: Rattus norvegicus (Norway rat)
Lineage: Eukaryota; Metazoa; Chordata; Mammalia; Rodentia; Muridae
Product: small nucleolar RNA SNORA17
Source: Ensembl
UUUGUCCCUAGAGGUAUUGCAGUUGUGGCUGCUGUCACAUGUGCACAUGUCACCUCAGUAGGUUGCAGGGGGGAGAGACACUAUGUCUAUACUCAAUGUUCUGACCUGUGAACAUCUGAAUGGUUAGUACACUAACAUU